GACAGAGGUGCCAAGCGUUAGGCGGAAUCACUGGGCUUAAAGCGUGUGUAGGCGGACUUGUAAGUACCUUGUGAAAUCCCACGGCUCACCCGUGGAACUGCUGGGUAUACUGCGAGUCUUGAGCCACUUAGGGGCUGUCGGAACAGGCGGUGGAGCGGUGAAAUGCGUAGAGAUCGGAAAGAACACCAACGGCGAAAGCACUCUGCUGGGCCGACACUGACACUGAGAGACGAAAGCGUGGGGAGCAAACAGG
RNAcentral lists this ribosomal RNA (253 nucleotides) under uncultured bacterium. Its description in RNAcentral is "partial 16S ribosomal RNA". It matches the Rfam family "Bacterial small subunit ribosomal RNA", at positions 524 to 776 of the family's 1533-position model. The record is from RNAcentral.